CCUACGGGAGGCAGCAGUGGGGAAUAUUGGACAAUGGGCGAAAGCCUGAUCCAGCAAUGCCGCGUGAGUGAUGAAGGCCUUCGGGUCGUAAAGCUCUUUUACCAGGGAUGAUAAUGACAGUACCUGGAGAAUAAGCUCCGGCUAACUCCGUGCCAGCAGCCGCGGUAAUACGGAGGGAGCUAGCGUUGUUCGGAAUUACUGGGCGUAAAGAGUACGUAGGCGGUUAUUCAAGUCAGAGGUGAAAGCCCGGGGCUCAACCCCGGAACUGCCUUUGAAACUAGAUAACUAGAGUCUUGGAGAGGUUAGUGGAAUUCCGAGUGUAGAGGUGAAAUUCGUAGAUAUUCGGAAGAACACCAGUGGCGAAGGCGACUAACUGGACAAGUACUGACGCUGAGGUACGAAAGCGUGGGGAGCAAACAGGAUUAGAUACCCUGGUAGUCCACGCCGUAAACGGUGAUAACUAGUUGUUCGGUCACUUGGUGACUGAGUGACGCAGCUAACGCAUUAAGUUAUCCGCCUGGGGAGUACGGUCGCAAGAUUAAAACUCAAAUGAAUUGACGG
This 561-nucleotide ribosomal RNA is filed under the name uncultured bacterium. Its description in RNAcentral is "bacterial SSU rRNA". It matches the Rfam family "Bacterial small subunit ribosomal RNA", at positions 338 to 916 of the family's 1533-position model. The record is from RNAcentral.